RNAcentral lists this small RNA (1136 nucleotides) under Pan troglodytes (chimpanzee). Its description in RNAcentral is "processed transcript". The record is from RNAcentral. Lineage: Eukaryota; Metazoa; Chordata; Mammalia; Primates; Hominidae.
CAAGCCCAGCACAGACUUCGGUUUCUCCGCCUCCAUCCCCUUUACGAGAAGAGGAGAUUUAAAAAUAUUGCCCUUUAGGUGCUCGUGAUGGUCCUGUGGGUUCGUUCAGUUGCCAGAAAAGAAUGGUAACAUGAACAGCGGAGCGUGAGAGCGUCACCGGGGGAAGGGACGAGAUUGAUGGGCAGAGCGCUCACUUCUCAGAGGAUCGCAUUCCGAGGACCGCGCGAGGAAGGGACGUCGCGGCGCCACCACUUCCUGGCUGGACUCCGCUGACAUCUGUAGCCUCCUUUCCACCAGGUUCCCGGGGCUCCCAGCCGCUGCCUGCAGAGGAGCGUGUAGACAGCGCGCGAGGGUCCGGGAGUUCGUGGACCUCCAUCCGAACCGGAGUUCUGCCCGGAUCCCGAGUCCCUGGAUCCCGGUGGAGCCCGCCGGCAAGCUGGCUCCGGAGGGAGUUGAACUUGAGUUCAGAUGGCCAACUCCCUCUGAAUCCUGCAGAUUGGUGCUGAGCACGCAACAAAAGUUUGUAGCUUCUCAGUUUCUGGUGCUUCGCAGGGGAGAGGAAAGGAAUUUGACAUUAAACACAAGAAGCAGUCAGGGAGCCAUCUCCUUUAACUUUUCUUCUCUGUUACCAUUUGCAAUGAAGAGGAAACAGAAGAGAUUUCUGCAGAUGACUUUGUUGUUCACGGUGGCUUUAAUUUUCCUGCCUAACGUUGGUCUCUGGUCUCUGUACAAGGAUAAGCACCUGGUGAAGUCAGCGGAGCCCGGGGAGCAGCAGGAAUUCAACUUUGGUUUGAAGUAUAUUCUGUUUUGUCAUUCCAGUGAAAAAAAGAAGAUGGACACUUUGGAUGUGAAACUUUUUUUGUUCUUAUUUACAUCAUUCAACCCUUGAUGUAAAACAGGAUUUUAAUAACUUUAGUAGUCAAUAUGCUAUUAUGUAAAAUCUCCACUCCAUGCUGGUAAAACAGGAAAGGCAAAAUUAUUUUUUCUUGAAAUUUGCUAAUUCAAUUAACAAUAACCAUCUGAAGUAUUUGCUGGUAUAGCUAACAUAAAGCGCUAAUUAAUUUUAUUAAUGAGAUUCUUACAACCUUCACAUUGACUCUAUUAAUUUUGACCCUUAAUGAGAAAAUUGUUUGUCU